CGCGUAGGCGGUUUGAUAAGUCAGAUGUGAAAGCCCACGGCUUAACUGUGGAAGUGCAUUUGAUACUGUCAGACUUGAGUACCAGAGGGGAAAGUGGAAUUCCCGGUGUAGAGGUGAAAUUCGUAGAUAUCGGGAGGAAUACCGGUGGCGAAGGCGACUUUCUGGCUGGAUACUGACGCUGAGGCGCGAAAGCGUGGGGAGGCAAACAG
Molecule: ribosomal RNA, 209 nt
Filed under: uncultured delta proteobacterium
Lineage: Bacteria; Deltaproteobacteria
Description: partial 16S ribosomal RNA
Rfam family: Bacterial small subunit ribosomal RNA
Source: RNAcentral